AUAAUACUCCCUCCGUCCGAAAAUACUUGUCAUCAAAAAGGAUAAAAGGAAAUGUAUCUACAUGUAUUUUAGUUCUAGAUACAUCUAUUUUUAUCCAUUUUGAUGGUAUUUUUGGACGGAGUAUGUUAUUA
Triticum urartu is the source of this 131-nucleotide non-coding RNA. The record is from Rfam. NCBI's taxonomy places the organism in Eukaryota, Viridiplantae, Streptophyta, Magnoliopsida, Poales, Poaceae.